This is a long non-coding RNA of Callithrix jacchus (white-tufted-ear marmoset), 698 nucleotides long. RefSeq lists it as uncharacterized. The record is from RefSeq and is a predicted model, not a curated record. Lineage: Eukaryota; Metazoa; Chordata; Mammalia; Primates; Cebidae.
CAGGUACGCGGGGUCCUCCUGGUAGGCGGAGAUGGUCAGUGCCACGCUGCGCGCCGUGGCUGCCUCCAGGGGCCCCCGUGCCGCCGCGCGCCGCGCCGCCGCCGCCACCCGCCGGUGCUCCAGGGUCUCACUCCAGCCCAGUGUCACCAUCUCUACCCACUGCAGCCUUGGCUUCCUGAGCUCAAGUGAUCCUCCCACCCCAGCCUCCCAAGGAGCCAGGACCACAAGGCUGGAGUCACCAUGACUUGAUGAGGCAACUGAGUCACACAGAGGUUCAGCAGCUUGCCCAAGGUCAUCCCUGGAAAGAAGAGGAGCCAGGAUUUGAACCCUGGGAAUUGAAUCGCUAAACCUCAACCUAAUACACUGGCUUUAGCCCUCAGGAGAGCCCUGGGGGAUAGAUAGUGCUCACUACCCCCGUACAGGUGGCCAAACCGGGGACAGAGUAGCCAGGCAGGGUGGCUGGCACAAGGUCAGCAGCCCGCGGUGGAGGAAUCUUCUCUCUGACUUUCCAGAGGCACAGCCAGGUUCUCCUUUUCCACUGCCCAACUCCCAAGCGGAACCCCAGGUGCCCCAGUAAAUGCUGCUGGAAGAGCUCAGAAUCAGGGAAAGGUACUUUUUGUGUGCCAGACACUACUCUCCAACAACCUUAUUUCAUAUAUAUAUAUAUAUAUAUUUUUUUUUUUUUUUUUUUUUUUAGU